RNAcentral lists this transfer RNA (59 nucleotides) under Spirochaetaceae bacterium. Its description in RNAcentral is "tRNA-Pro". It matches the Rfam family "tRNA", at positions 7 to 64 of the family's 71-position model. From Rfam's summary of the family: Transfer RNA (tRNA) molecules are approximately 80 nucleotides in length. Their secondary structure includes four short double-helical elements and three loops (D, anti-codon, and T loops). Lineage: Bacteria; Pseudomonadati; Spirochaetota; Spirochaetia; Spirochaetales; Spirochaetaceae. The record is from RNAcentral.
GUAGCGCAGGGGUAGCGCACCUCGUUCGGGACGAGGGGGUCGGAGGUUCAAAUCCUCUC